This 1499-nucleotide ribosomal RNA is filed under the name Lactiplantibacillus plantarum. Its description in RNAcentral is "bacterial SSU rRNA". It matches the Rfam family "Bacterial small subunit ribosomal RNA". The record is from RNAcentral. Lineage: Bacteria; Bacillati; Bacillota; Bacilli; Lactobacillales; Lactobacillaceae.
CGCUCAGGACGAACGCUGGCGGCGUGCCUAAUACAUGCAAGUCGAACGAACUCUGGUAUUGAUUGGUGCUUGCAUCAUGAUUUACAUUUGAGUGAGUGGCGAACUGGUGAGUAACACGUGGGAAACCUGCCCAGAAGCGGGGGAUAACACCUGGAAACAGAUGCUAAUACCGCAUAACAACUUGGACCGCAUGGUCCGAGUUUGAAAGAUGGCUUCGGCUAUCACUUUUGGAUGGUCCCGCGGCGUAUUAGCUAGAUGGUGGGGUAACGGCUCACCAUGGCAAUGAUACGUAGCCGACCUGAGAGGGUAAUCGGCCACAUUGGGACUGAGACACGGCCCAAACUCCUACGGGAGGCAGCAGUAGGGAAUCUUCCACAAUGGACGAAAGUCUGAUGGAGCAACGCCGCGUGAGUGAAGAAGGGUUUCGGCUCGUAAAACUCUGUUGUUAAAGAAGAACAUAUCUGAGAGUAACUGUUCAGGUAUUGACGGUAUUUAACCAGAAAGCCACGGCUAACUACGUGCCAGCAGCCGCGGUAAUACGUAGGUGGCAAGCGUUGUCCGGAUUUAUUGGGCGUAAAGCGAGCGCAGGCGGUUUUUUAAGUCUGAUGUGAAAGCCUUCGGCUCAACCGAAGAAGUGCAUCGGAAACUGGGAAACUUGAGUGCAGAAGAGGACAGUGGAACUCCAUGUGUAGCGGUGAAAUGCGUAGAUAUAUGGAAGAACACCAGUGGCGAAGGCGGCUGUCUGGUCUGUAACUGACGCUGAGGCUCGAAAGUAUGGGUAGCAAACAGGAUUAGAUACCCUGGUAGUCCAUACCGUAAACGAUGAAUGCUAAGUGUUGGAGGGUUUCCGCCCUUCAGUGCUGCAGCUAACGCAUUAAGCAUUCCGCCUGGGGAGUACGGCCGCAAGGCUGAAACUCAAAGGAAUUGACGGGGGCCCGCACAAGCGGUGGAGCAUGUGGUUUAAUUCGAAGCUACGCGAAGAACCUUACCAGGUCUUGACAUACUAUGCAAAUCUAAGAGAUUAGACGUUCCCUUCGGGGACAUGGAUACAGGUGGUGCAUGGUUGUCGUCAGCUCGUGUCGUGAGAUGUUGGGUUAAGUCCCGCAACGAGCGCAACCCUUAUUAUCAGUUGCCAGCAUUAAGUUGGGCACUCUGGUGAGACUGCCGGUGACAAACCGGAGGAAGGUGGGGAUGACGUCAAAUCAUCAUGCCCCUUAUGACCUGGGCUACACACGUGCUACAAUGGAUGGUACAACGAGUUGCGAACUCGCGAGAGUAAGCUAAUCUCUUAAAGCCAUUCUCAGUUCGGAUUGUAGGCUGCAACUCGCCUACAUGAAGUCGGAAUCGCUAGUAAUCGCGGAUCAGCAUGCCGCGGUGAAUACGUUCCCGGGCCUUGUACACACCGCCCGUCACACCAUGAGAGUUUGUAACACCCAAAGUCGGUGGGGUAACCUUUUAGGAACCAGCCGCCUAAGGUGGGACAGAUGAUUAGGGUGAGC